Molecule: transfer RNA, 89 nt
Filed under: Deltaproteobacteria bacterium
Lineage: Bacteria; Pseudomonadati; Myxococcota; Myxococcia
Also listed under: 1 other name
Description: tRNA-Ser
Rfam family: tRNA
About the family: Transfer RNA (tRNA) molecules are approximately 80 nucleotides in length. Their secondary structure includes four short double-helical elements and three loops (D, anti-codon, and T loops).
Source: RNAcentral
GGAGGGAUGGCCGAGUGGUUGAAGGCGGCGGUCUUGAAAGCCGCUUACCCCAAAAGGGGACGGGGGUUCGAAUCCCUCUCCCUCCGCCA